This 84-nucleotide small RNA is filed under the name Pseudomonas aeruginosa. RNAcentral's name for it is "unknown". RNAcentral also lists the same sequence under 2 other names. Lineage: Bacteria; Pseudomonadati; Pseudomonadota; Gammaproteobacteria; Pseudomonadales; Pseudomonadaceae. The record is from RNAcentral.
UGUGAUUGGUGUUCAGCAAAGGCCGGUUCUGCUAUCAUCGCCGGCCAUUGUUGAAAACAGUUCGCAGUCAGCGCUUAAGCGGCC